GGCAGCCGUCCGCAAUUAGUGUUUUCUAUCUCCGGGCUCACAGCGCUCCUGAAGAAUGGCGGCGGAGGCUGCGCAGCCCAUCAAAAACAUCAAGGAAAUAGUUUCCUUGUAUCGUGACCUAAGCCAUUAUCCAACACUUUACAGUGCAACCGUUGGACCUGAUGUCACUACGCAAUAUGGCGGCAAAUAUUGCAACAUCUACACUGAGUGGACACAGAGAGAUCUUGAUCGCAACGAGCAAGUAAAAUUUUGCCGACAGUCAGGGCCGGCCUUAGGGGUGUGCGAGCUGUGCGACCGCACAGGGCGCCAUGGAAC
Non-coding RNA from Pelobates cultripes (western spadefoot toad), 315 nucleotides. Lineage: Eukaryota; Metazoa; Chordata; Amphibia; Anura; Pelobatidae. The record is from the annotation of a GenBank genome assembly.